This 46-nucleotide non-coding RNA is filed under the name Schistosoma haematobium. The record is from RNAcentral. Lineage: Eukaryota; Metazoa; Platyhelminthes; Trematoda; Strigeidida; Schistosomatidae.
CUACUACAGAAGAGUUCCAUACUAGGACGAAACGACCGUUCAGUAC